GUAGGGAAUAUUGCGCAAUGGACGAAAGUCUGACGCAGCGACGCCGCGUGAGUGAUGAAGGCCUUAGGGUCGUAAAGCUCUGUUGAAUGGGAAGAAAAAAAUGACGGUACCAUUCGAGGAAGGACCGGCUAACUUCGUGCAAGCAGCCGCGGUAAUACGAGGGGUCCUAGCGUUGUUCGGAAUCAUUGGGCGUAAAGGGUGUGUAGGUGGCCAUGUAAGUCAGGUGUGAAAGCCCCGGGCUCAACCCGGGAAGUGCACUUGAUACUGCGUGGCUUGAGUACCGAAGAGGGUAGUGGAAUUCCAGGUGUAGUGGUGAAAUACGUAGAUAUCUGGAGGAACACCGGUGGCGAAGGCGGCUACCUGGUCGAGUACUGACACUGAGACACGAAAGCAUGGGGAUCAAACAGGAUUAGAUACCCCGGUAGUCC
RNAcentral lists this ribosomal RNA (428 nucleotides) under uncultured bacterium. RNAcentral describes it as "partial 16S ribosomal RNA". It matches the Rfam family "Bacterial small subunit ribosomal RNA", at positions 354 to 796 of the family's 1533-position model. The record is from RNAcentral.